This 349-nucleotide ribosomal RNA is filed under the name uncultured bacterium. Its description in RNAcentral is "bacterial SSU rRNA". It matches the Rfam family "Bacterial small subunit ribosomal RNA", at positions 1 to 334 of the family's 1533-position model. The record is from RNAcentral.
CUAGCGACUUCAGAGUUUGAUCCUGGCUCAGGAUGAACGCUAGCGGCAGGCUUAACACAUGCAAGUCGAGGGGCAGCAUGACACGGAGAUUCGUCGAAGUGUUGAUGGCGACCGGCGCAAGGGUGCGUAACGCGUGAGCAACUUGCCCGUUUCAGGGGGAUAACCGGUGGAAACGCCGACUAAUACCCCAUAGCAUCAGCAGGAGGCAUCUCUUGCUGAUUAAAGAAUUUCGGAAACGGAUAGGCUCGCGUGACAUUAGCUAGAUGGCGGGGUAACGGCCCACCAUGGCGACGAUGUCUAGGGGUUCUGAGAGGAAGGUCCCCCACACUGGAACUGAGACACGGUCCAG